GAGCGAGCGGAACCACAGAUUUACUUCGGUAAUGACGUUGGGAAAGCGAGCGGCGGAUGGGUGAGUAACACGUGGGGAACCUGCCCCUAAGUCUGGGAUACCAUUUGGAAACAGGUGCUAAUACCGGAUAAUAAAGCAGAUCGCAUGAUCAGCUUUUGAAAGGCGGCGUAAGCUGUCGCUAAGGGAUGGCCCCGCGGUGCAUUAGCUAGUUGGUAAGGUAACGGCUUACCAAGGCGACGAUGCAUAGCCGAGUUGAGAGACUGAUCGGCCACAUUGGGACUGAGACACGGCCCAAACUCCUACGGGAGGCAGCAGUAGGGAAUCUUCCACAAUGGACGCAAGUCUGAUGGAGCAACGCCGCGUGAGUGAAGAAGGUUUUCGGAUCGUAAAGCUCUGUUGUUGGUGAAGAAGGAUAGAGGUAGUAACUGGCCUUUAUUUGACGGUAAUCAACCAGAAAGUCACGGCUAACUACGUGCCAGCAGCCGCGGUAAUACGUAGGUGGCAAGCGUUGUCCGGAUUUAUUGGGCGUAAAGCGAGCGCAGGCGGAAAAAUAAGUCUAAUGUGAAAGCCCUCGGCUUAACCGAGGAACUGCAUCGGAAACUGUUUUUCUUGAGUGCAGAAGAGGAGAGUGGAACUCCAUGUGUAGCGGUGGAAUGCGUAGAUAUAUGGAAGAACACCAGUGGCGAAGGCGGCUCUCUGGUCUGCAACUGACGCUGAGGCUCGAAAGCAUGGGUAGCGAACAGGAUUAGAUACCCUGGUAGUCCAUGCCGUAAACGAUGAGUGCUA
RNAcentral lists this ribosomal RNA (786 nucleotides) under uncultured bacterium. RNAcentral describes it as "bacterial SSU rRNA". It matches the Rfam family "Bacterial small subunit ribosomal RNA", at positions 64 to 818 of the family's 1533-position model. The record is from RNAcentral.